This 623-nucleotide long non-coding RNA is filed under the name Helianthus annuus (common sunflower). RNAcentral describes it as "hypothetical non coding rna". The record is from RNAcentral. Lineage: Eukaryota; Viridiplantae; Streptophyta; Magnoliopsida; Asterales; Asteraceae.
AUGUGUUGACUACCAAAAUGAAGGGGAGGUUGGGGAGGUACUAGCUGAUGCAUUUAAGACAGGAUUGGUGAAGAGGGAGGAUCUUUUCAUUACUACGAAGUUGUGGAACUCAGAUCAUGGACAUGUUGUGGAGGCUUGCAAAGCCAGCUUGAAAAGCUUCAACUAGACUAUCUGGAUCUCUUUCUUGUUCACUUUCCCAUUGCAACAAAGCACACUGGAGUUGGUACAACUGCAAGUGCAUUGGAUGAAGAGGGUGUUUUGGAUAUUGACCCCACAAUUUCGUUGGAGACUACGUGGCAUGCCAUGGAACCUCCGCUCGCCCAGGCUACCACGCGGACACCCCGGCGCUCACGUGUGACCGCUUGCGGCACCGUGUUGCCGUCCUCGUGAGUGACCACCUGGCCGUUAACGUGGCUCACCACGGCGCUAACGGGUGCCACAACGCAGUCUUAUUGUUGUUUGCACCAUACACAGCUCGACACUAACCUAGAAGCUGGAAUCGGUAUGCUAGAUAAUAGUCUGAAGCUAAUGUCAAUAUGAGCCUAGCAUGUGUAUUUCUUAGUUUAGUUUUAAUAAACAAUCACAGCUAUGUUAAAAUGUACUAAUUUUGGUUUUUUAUUUAU